This 460-nucleotide ribosomal RNA is filed under the name uncultured bacterium. RNAcentral describes it as "partial 16S ribosomal RNA". It matches the Rfam family "Bacterial small subunit ribosomal RNA", at positions 338 to 795 of the family's 1533-position model. The record is from RNAcentral.
CCUACGGGUGGCAGCAGUGAGGAAUAUUGGUCAAUGGGCGAGAGGCUGAACCAGCCAAGUAGCGUGAAGGAUGACGGCCCUACGGGUUGUAAACUUCUUUUAUAAAGGAAUAAAGUGAGGCACGUGUGCCGUUUUGAGUGUACUUUAUGAAUAAGGAUCGGCUAACUCCGUGCCAGCAGCCGCGGUAAUACGGAGGAUCCGAGCGUUAUCCGGAUUUAUUGGGUUUAAAGGGAGCGUAGAUGGGUUGUUAAGUCAGUUGUGAAAGUUUGCGGCUCAACCGUAAAAUUGCAAUUGAUACUGGCAGUCUUGAGUACAGUUGAGGUAGGCGGAAUUCGUGGUGUAGCGGUGAAAUGCUUAGAUAUCACGAAGAACUCCGAUUGCGAAGGCAGCUUACUAAACUGCCACUGACAUUGAUGCUCGAAAGUGUGGGUAUCAAACAGGAUUAGAUACCCGGGUAGUC